Molecule: long non-coding RNA, 541 nt
Organism: Bubalus bubalis (water buffalo)
Lineage: Eukaryota; Metazoa; Chordata; Mammalia; Artiodactyla; Bovidae
Exons: 3
Source: RefSeq, a predicted model, not a curated record
GGUGAUUCUGAUGACCAGACAGAUUCUAGUUGGGUCAGCGGGACACCAGCUCCCUGGGCUGCUGGUCUGUGCAGCCCAAGGGCACCACUGCGGGUGUGGACAGAGAGUGAAGCUCAGCGGUCAGUCUCAGGACCCCAAUCCUCCUGGCAGAGCCCGAGGGAGACCAGUUACUGCUGAAGGUCCCCAGGAUGCAGCCACGUGAAGCGACACUUGUGGAGAGGAGUUCAUUUUCACCGCUCCACAUCCCCCAAGAAAGAAGAAAAAUGAUUAGUGUCUUGGAAGGGAGCAGAGCUUUCCAUCAGCUUCCUGUUGGCUGGUAGGGACACUGAAAUCAUGGGCUGGCAGUUCUCAGGGUGAGGCUCUGCCUGGGUUUACUCCACUGGACCUGGGUGAUGGGACCUUGUCACGGAGAUGAAUGUCAGCCAAACACAGAAUGAACCCCCCAGUGUCUGGGUGUAUGAACACACUCCAGCAGCUGCUCAGAGGAUGCUGGGGAGAUCUAUACAGAAUUCCCAGAAAGUGGUGCCCGACCCCUCCCAGA